This is a long non-coding RNA of Haliotis rubra (blacklip abalone), 385 nucleotides long. RefSeq lists it as uncharacterized. The record is from RefSeq and is a predicted model, not a curated record. NCBI's taxonomy places the organism in Eukaryota, Metazoa, Mollusca, Gastropoda, Lepetellida, Haliotidae. The transcript has 3 exons.
CGGUAACGCCUUACAACUGCAACCUUUCACCAUAUCAUUAUACAGUAGCCACGAUGGUGACAGGACUGAGUGGAUAAAUCGUGUAUCACAGUGUAAACACGCGAAGGGAGAAGAGGGCACAUGGACUGUAUCUGGGAAGACGUUGGACUUGGACUACAGUGGGCAGCACAAGGUUAACGUAACAGAUCGAAGCGGCCAAACCAUAACCUUUCAACUAUUCCAAGGGGUACACUACACGCCAUUGUUUAAAGUCGAAGUACUUCAACAAAUCAAAGGUUUCAACAUGAGGCCAGAUGACAUAUACUUCACCGGAUAUCCUCGUACAGGGACAAACUGGACAUUUGAAAUGACAAGCAUGCUUCUUAAUGGUAAAGCUGAAACCAUC